CGAGACAAGCAUGCAAGCAGGCAGGACUGAUCCAUUGGGGUCAAUUCGACUGUUUAAUGGGGAUUGGGAAGCAAGAUUGGUAGCUGUGCUCAGAGCCCAUCUCCCGAGCUGCUCUACCCGCGUGUGUCUUGUAAGGCUCAGCAUGGUAUUUUCAAAGUGACACCAUGCUGGAGGUAAGCAACAUUAAAUGUGGCGUGCUCCAUGGACUGUGUUGCUUCAUUUCCAGAGUAGGGAGCUGGGGGGUUCCCGUCAAGCAGUCAUGGCUAGAAGUACUCUGAGGUAUCCCUCAAAUGUGUUGUCCCAUGCUGUUUCACACGAGCACAGGCCCACAGUGUAACCCUUCCACAGGGCCAGAGGGCAACAGGCCAUGAGUCUUCUCAUGGGGUUCUAACUCUUCCUUCCUGGUGCUGUACCUUUCCCCAAUGCUUUGUCUUGUCCAGUGAAUGCCAGUGCUCAAGAAAAGCCCAUGUUAAGCCAGGGCGUGGGACUUUUUAGGGCGUCAUCUCUGCUUCUGGUUGGAAGCAAACUGAGAAGAAGUCAUGAAUAGGUAGCAUUGAGAAGGGGAGCGAGGCUAUGUGCCAAACAGAAGGAAAGGUUUCUUAGGCCAGGGAACAGGGUCAAUGAAUAACCUCCAGCAAAGUCUGCCCCUAAUGUCAGUCUGCCCAAGGCCACACCCUUCCCCCUGGUAGGCCUGCCCCAGGUUCUAAGCAAGUUUAGUGCUUGUGGGGUAGACUCUGUCAAGCAUUUCUUCCACCAGGCGCCCCCUCUGGUCCCUGCUCAUGAACAGCCAGGGCUUUGUCAGGCCGCCUGCAUUUUGAGUUCUUCACGCCCAACCCCUGCCUUUUUUCCACAGGUGUUCAUCCUAAUAAACAUCUUAACACUCAAA
RNAcentral lists this long non-coding RNA (886 nucleotides) under Rattus norvegicus (Norway rat). RNAcentral's name for it is "long non-coding RNA NONRATT019805". The record is from RNAcentral. Lineage: Eukaryota; Metazoa; Chordata; Mammalia; Rodentia; Muridae.